ACCAGACUCCUACGGGAGGCAGCAGUGGGGAAUAUUGCACAAUGGGGGAAACCCUGAUGCAGCGACGCCGCGUGAGUGAGGAAGUAUUUCGGUAUGUAAAGCUCUAUCAGCAGGGAAUAGAAAAGAAGGUACCUGAAAAAGAAGCCCCGGCUAACUACGUGCCAGCAGCCGCGGUAAUACGUAGGGGGCAAGCGUUAUCCGGAUUUACUGGGUGUAAAGGGAGCGUAGACGGCAGCGCAAGUCUGGAGUGAAAUGCCGGGGCUCAACCCCGGAACUGCUUUGGAAACUGUGCAGCUAGAGUGCGGGAGAGGUAAGAGGAAUUCCUAGUGUAGCGGUGAAAUGCGUAGAUAUUAGGAGGAACACCAGUGGCGAAGGCGUCUUACUGGACCGAAACUGACGUUGAGGCUCGAAAGCGUGGGGAGCAAACAGGAUUAGAUACCCGGGUAA
Molecule: ribosomal RNA, 447 nt
Filed under: uncultured bacterium
Lineage: Bacteria
Description: bacterial SSU rRNA
Rfam family: Bacterial small subunit ribosomal RNA
Source: RNAcentral